CGAAACCGAGUGAUCUAGCCAUGGGCAGGUUGAAGGUUGAGUAACAUCAACUGGAGGACCGAACCGACUAAUGUUGAAAAAUUAGCGGAUGACUUGUGGCUAGGGGUGAAAGGCCAAUCAAACUCGGAGAUAGCUGGUUCUCCCCGAAAGCUAUUUAGGUAGCGCCUCGGACGAAUACUACUGGGGGUAGAGCACUGUUAAGGCUAGGGGGUCAUCCCGACUUACCAACCCUUUGCAAACUCCGAAUACCAGUAAGUACUAUCCGGGAGACACACGGCGGGUGCUAACGUCCGUCGUGGAGAGGGAAACAACCCAGACCGCCAGCUAAGGUCCCAAAUUACAGCUAAGUGGGAAACGAUGUGGGAAGGCUUAGACAGCUAGGAUGUUGGCUUAGAAGCAGCCAUCAUUUAAAGAAAGCGUAAUAGCUCACUAGUCGAGUCGGCCUGCGCGGAAGAUGUAACGGGGCUAAGUU
This 472-nucleotide ribosomal RNA is filed under the name Vibrio vulnificus. RNAcentral describes it as "partial 23S ribosomal RNA". It matches the Rfam family "Bacterial large subunit ribosomal RNA", at positions 716 to 1188 of the family's 2925-position model. The record is from RNAcentral. Lineage: Bacteria; Pseudomonadati; Pseudomonadota; Gammaproteobacteria; Vibrionales; Vibrionaceae.